This 596-nucleotide unclassified non-coding RNA is filed under the name Penicillium citreonigrum. RNAcentral describes it as "sequence contains 18S rRNA gene, ITS1, 5.8S rRNA gene, ITS2, 28S rRNA gene". The stretch from base 220 to 373 matches the Rfam family "5.8S ribosomal RNA". The record is from RNAcentral. Lineage: Eukaryota; Fungi; Ascomycota; Eurotiomycetes; Eurotiales; Aspergillaceae.
AGUCGUAACAAGGUUUCCGUAGGUGAACCUGCGGAAGGAUCAUUACCGAGUGAGGGCCCUCUGGGUCCAACCUCCCACCCGUGUUUAUCGUACCUUGUUGCUUCGGCGGGCCCGCCGCAAGGCCGCCGGGGGGCAUCUGCCCUCUGGCCCGCGCCCGCCGAAGACACCAUUGAACGCUGUCUGAAGAUUGCAGUCUGAGCAAUUAGUUAAAUAACUUAAAACUUUCAACAACGGAUCUCUUGGUUCCGGCAUCGAUGAAGAACGCAGCGAAAUGCGAUACGUAAUGUGAAUUGCAGAAUUCAGUGAAUCAUCGAGUCUUUGAACGCACAUUGCGCCCCCUGGUAUUCCGGGGGGCAUGCCUGUCCGAGCGUCAUUGCUGCCCUCAAGCACGGCUUGUGUGUUGGGCUCCGUCCUCCUCCCGGGGGACGGGCCCGAAAGGCAGCGGCGGCACCGCGUCCGGUCCUCGAGCGUAUGGGGCUUCGUCACCCGCUCUGUAGGCCCGGCCGGCGCUUGCCGACACAUCAAUCUUUUUUCCAGGUUGACCUCGGAUCAGGUAGGGAUACCCGCUGAACUUAAGCAUAUCAAUAAGCGGAGGA